CUACAGUGCCGCUUUCCCUCAGGGCCUUAAUAGAAGACCCGUAGUCUAAUUUUUGGAACGCCGUUGAAGAAACGGUGUA
Molecule: non-coding RNA, 79 nt
Organism: Syphacia muris
Lineage: Eukaryota; Metazoa; Nematoda; Chromadorea; Rhabditida; Oxyuridae
Source: Rfam